RNAcentral lists this transfer RNA (102 nucleotides) under mine drainage metagenome. Its description in RNAcentral is "tRNA-Ala". It matches the Rfam family "tRNA". Rfam says of the family: Transfer RNA (tRNA) molecules are approximately 80 nucleotides in length. Their secondary structure includes four short double-helical elements and three loops (D, anti-codon, and T loops). Further hydrogen bonds mediate the characteristic L-shaped molecular structure. tRNAs have two regions of fundamental functional importance: the anti-codon, which is responsible for specific mRNA codon recognition, and the 3' end, to which the tRNAs corresponding amino acid is attached (by aminoacyl-tRNA synthetases). tRNAs cope with the degeneracy of the genetic code in two manners: having more than one tRNA (with a specific anti-codon) for a particular amino acid; and 'wobble' base-pairing, i.e. permitting non-standard base-pairing at the 3rd anti-codon position. The record is from RNAcentral.
GGGCCCAUGGCUCAGCAGUAGAGCGUCCGCUUUGCAAGGAACUUUUUGAAAAAGUUCCAUCAAAACAGCGGAAGGCCGCGGGUGCGAAUCCCGCUGGGUCCA